CAGUGUGUGGCAUCACAGAUGUCUCCAUAGAAACAGGGCAGGGUCACAUUCUUGGGGACAGGGUCUGGAAGCAGACCCAAACACUAUUCCCACUAAAUCUCAGAAUGUCGCAAGAGUAAGAGAAGCAGUCUGACCCCAGAGCCGGGAGUCCCCCUCUCUCGUUUGUCAGGGGUGGGGUGCGCAUGACUCCCUCAACCUGGAUCUGACUUCCGGAGUCUAAUGUCAGAAGGUUCAUUGUCAGCAUGUUUAAAACACAGUACAAUGUGGGAAAAGAUUUCCAGACAACCAUCAUUCCAUUUGUAAGUGAAGAAUAAAGCUUAAGGUGUGACCACAUAGAGACCCUUUUGUAACUAUGAGGGUGGGUUCUAUAGCUAAAAGGCCUAGAAUCUAGUGUGACCCUUGACCCAUAGCGUAGAAGACCAUAAAAUGUAUAUGGUGUCUCCCCUAAAGAUGGGUUUAACUGGAAGCUUCAGAUAAAGGUCUAGGGAGGGAAGAGUCUAGAAUAAUCAUUCUGGGGGACUUGAGUGACAUCUACCUCUAUAGACAAAGGUUUGGGAGGUCUGCCUCUAAAGAUAUCAGAAAGGUCACCGGGUCACCAGGCACCAAAUACGCAUAUAUGCUGAAUAUACAUUCAUGAAGUCAAAGCAGCUACACAGCAUAAAGUACAAACUCACAAAUUGUCUGACCUCCGGUGUUUACUCUGGUCUUUUAAAUCUGGCCUAACUGCAAACUUGCGGUCACAACAACACUCAGACUUCCAGCUGGGUUGCAGAAAUAUGAAGCCAUGGCUGAUACAGAAGCUUCAAUCCAUUGCUGUUAUAGAAGGCCUUAUCUUGGGACAGACAUCUAAGCUUAAUAAAUGAAUCCGAACUGCA
This is a long non-coding RNA of Mastomys coucha (southern multimammate mouse), 875 nucleotides long. RefSeq lists it as uncharacterized. The record is from RefSeq and is a predicted model, not a curated record. Lineage: Eukaryota; Metazoa; Chordata; Mammalia; Rodentia; Muridae. The transcript is spliced from 2 exons.